UAAUAAGUGUUUUAUGGCACUUUUUAAAUCCAUAUCCACCUUGUGUGCAAUGUCGGUCGAUCUUCUUCUUUGAGAUCGACCAAACAUCAACCUUUAUCUUUUAACUCUUUGUCUGAAAAAUAUUAUGAAUAAACAAUUCAAAAUA
Molecule: unclassified non-coding RNA, 145 nt
Filed under: soil metagenome
Description: partial internal transcribed spacer 1
Source: RNAcentral